CCUACGGGGGGCAGCAGUGGGGAAUAUUGCACAAUGGGGGAAACCCUGAUGCAGCAACGCCGCGUGAAGGAAGACGGUUUUCGGAUUGUAAACUUCUGUUCUUAGUGAAGAAUAAUGACGGUAGCUAAGGAGCAAGCCACGGCUAACUACGUGCCAGCAGCCGCGGUAAUACGUAGGUGGCAAGCGUUGUCCGGAAUUACUGGGUGUAAAGGGAGCGCAGGCGGGAAGCCAAGUCAGCUGUGAAAACUACGGGCUUAACUUGUAGACUGCAGUUGAAACUGGGGGCCUUGAGUGGGCGAGAAGAAGGCGGAAUGCGUGGUGUAGCGGUGAAAUGCAUAGAUAUCACGCAGAACCCCGAUUGCGAAGGCAGCCUUCCGGCGCCCUACUGACGCUGAGGCACGAAAGUGCGGGGAUCGAACAGGAUUAGAUACCCCUGUAGUC
This 441-nucleotide ribosomal RNA is filed under the name uncultured bacterium. Its description in RNAcentral is "partial 16S ribosomal RNA". It matches the Rfam family "Bacterial small subunit ribosomal RNA", at positions 338 to 795 of the family's 1533-position model. The record is from RNAcentral.